This 30-nucleotide non-coding RNA is filed under the name Rattus norvegicus (Norway rat). Lineage: Eukaryota; Metazoa; Chordata; Mammalia; Rodentia; Muridae. The record is from RNAcentral.
UCCUCUAGGUGACAGGAUAAAGUGUGAACU